This 497-nucleotide ribosomal RNA is filed under the name uncultured bacterium. RNAcentral's name for it is "partial 16S ribosomal RNA". It matches the Rfam family "Bacterial small subunit ribosomal RNA", at positions 28 to 507 of the family's 1533-position model. The record is from RNAcentral.
GAUGAACGCUGGCGGCGUGCCUAAUACAUGCAAGUCGAGCGAACGGACGAGAAGCUUGCUUCUCUGAUGUUAGCGGCGGACGGGUGAGUAACACGUGUAUAACCUACCUAUAAUACUGGGAUAACUUCGUGAAACCGGAUCUAACACCGGAUAAUAUUUUGAACCGCAUGGUUCAAAAGUUAAUGACGGUCUUUCUGUCACUUAUAGAUGUAUCCGCGCUGCAUUAGCUAGUUGGUAAGGUAACGGCUUACCAAGGCAACGAUGCAUAUCCGACGUGAGAGGGGGAGCGGCGAGACAGGAACUGAGAAACGGAAAAGAGUACGACGGGAGGCAGAAGAAGGGAAGAGUAGGAAAUGGGGGAAAGCAUGACGGAGCAACGGGGCGUGAGUGAUGAAGGUGUUCGGAUCGUAAAACUCUGUUAUUAGGGAAGAAAAAAAGUGUAAGAAACUGAGAAGAAAAUGACGGUAACUAAACAGAAAGCAACGGCUAACUACGUG